Molecule: ribosomal RNA, 917 nt
Filed under: uncultured bacterium
Lineage: Bacteria
Description: bacterial SSU rRNA
Rfam family: Bacterial small subunit ribosomal RNA
Source: RNAcentral
AANGGCGAAGCUGAUGCAGCAACGCCGCGUGCGGGAUGACGGCCUUCGGGUUGUAAACCGCUUUCAGCUCCGACGAAGCGCAAGUGACGGUAGGAGCAGAAGAAGGACCGGCCAACUACGUGCCAGCAGCCGCGGUGAUACGUAGGGUCCGAGCGUUGUCCGGAAUUAUUGGGCGUAAAGGGCUUGUAGGCGGUUUGUCACGUCGGAAGUGAAAACUCAGGGCUUAACCCUGAGCCUGCUUCCGAUACGGGCAAACUAGAGGAAUGCAGGGGAGAAUGGAAUUCCUGGUGGAGCGGUGGAAUGCGCAGAUAUCAGGAGGAACACCAGUGGCGAAGGCGGUUCUCUGGGCAUUUCCUGACGCUGAGAAGCGAAAGCGUGGGGAGCAAACAGGCUUAGAUACCCUGGUAGUCCACGCCGUAAACGGUGGGCACUAGGUGUGGGACUCAUUCCACGAGUUCCGUGCCGUAGCUAACGCAUUAAGUGCCCCGCCUGGGGAGUACGGCCGCAAGGCUAAAACUCAAAGGAAUUGACGGGGGCCCGCACAAGCGGCGGAGCAUGCGGAUUAAUUCGAUGCAACGCGAAGAACCUUACCUGGGUUUGACAUAUACCGGAAAGCUGCAGAGAUGUAGCCCCCGCAAGGUCGGUAUACAGGUGGUGCAUGGCUGUCGUCAGCUCGUGUCGUGAGAUGUUGGGUUAAGUCCCGCAACGAGCGCAACCCUCGUCCUAUGUUGCCAGCGGAUAAUGCCGGGGACUCAUAGGAGACUGCCGGGGUCAACUCGGAGGAAGGUGGGGAUGACGUCAAGUCAUCAUGCCCCUUAAGUCCAGGGCUUCACGCAUGCUACAAUGGCUGGUACAAAGGGCUGCAAUACCGCAAGGUUGAGCGAAUCCCAAAAAGCCAGUCUCAGUUCGNAUGGGGU